CAGCACCUCAAGUGGUCAGGAUGAUUAUUGGGCCUAAAGCAUCCGUAGCCGGCUCUGUAAGUUUCCGGUUAAAUCUGUACGCUCAACGUACAGGCUGCCGGGAAUACUGCAGAGCUAGGGAGUGGGAGAGGUAGACGGUACUCGGUAGGAAGGGGUAAAAUCCUUUGAUCUAUUGAUGACCACCUGUGGCGAAGGCGGUCUACCAGAACACGUCCGACGGUGAGGGAUGAAAGCUGGGGGAGCAAACCGGAUUAGAUACCCGAGUAGUCC
Molecule: ribosomal RNA, 270 nt
Filed under: uncultured archaeon
Lineage: Archaea
Description: partial 16S ribosomal RNA
Rfam family: Archaeal small subunit ribosomal RNA
Source: RNAcentral